ACAGUGACUGGUAGAGGAAAAGGC
This 24-nucleotide non-coding RNA is filed under the name Cricetulus griseus (Chinese hamster). The record is from RNAcentral. Lineage: Eukaryota; Metazoa; Chordata; Mammalia; Rodentia; Cricetidae.